Non-coding RNA from Cajanus cajan (pigeon pea), 132 nucleotides. NCBI's taxonomy places the organism in Eukaryota, Viridiplantae, Streptophyta, Magnoliopsida, Fabales, Fabaceae. The record is from RefSeq and is a predicted model, not a curated record.
GACGGAUGGAUAUUGCUUGGAGGAUUCUUUUUGUGCAUAACAGGAUCGGAGGCCAUGUUUGCUGACUUGGGUCACUUUAAUGUACGAGCCAUUCAAAUUAGCUUUUCUUGCAUUACGUGUCCUGCAAUAGUG